GGAUAUAUAGUUCAAGGGUAGGGCAUUUGCCUACCAUGCAAGAGGCUCUAGGUUCAAUUUUUAGUAUCA
This 69-nucleotide transfer RNA is filed under the name Cricetulus griseus (Chinese hamster). It matches the Rfam family "tRNA". From Rfam's summary of the family: Transfer RNA (tRNA) molecules are approximately 80 nucleotides in length. Lineage: Eukaryota; Metazoa; Chordata; Mammalia; Rodentia; Cricetidae. The record is from Rfam by way of RNAcentral.